RNAcentral lists this ribosomal RNA (433 nucleotides) under uncultured bacterium. Its description in RNAcentral is "partial 16S ribosomal RNA". It matches the Rfam family "Bacterial small subunit ribosomal RNA", at positions 30 to 507 of the family's 1533-position model. The record is from RNAcentral.
AGCGAACGCUGGCGGCAGGCUUAACACAUGCAAGUCGAGCGGACCUUUCGGGGUCAGCGGCGGACGGGUGAGUAACGCGUGGGAACGUGCCUUCCGGUUCGGCAUAUCCCUGGGAAACUCGUGCUAAUACCGGAUACGCCCUUAUGUGGAAAGGUUUACUGCCGGAGGAUCGGCCCGCGUCUGAUUGGCUUGUUGGUGGGGUAAAGGCCUCCCAAGGCGAGGAUCAGUAGCUGGGUUGAGAGGAUGAGCUGCGACACUGGUACUGAGACACGGCCCAGACUCCUACGGGAGGGAGCAGAGGGGAAUAUUGGAAAAUGGGGGCAAGGCUGAAGCAGCCAUGACGGGUGAGUGAUGAAGGCCUUAGGGUUGGAAAGCUAGUUUAUCCGGGACGAUAAUGACGGUACCGGAGGAAUAAGCCCCGGCUAACUUCGUG